RNAcentral lists this long non-coding RNA (809 nucleotides) under Salvia miltiorrhiza (redroot sage). Its description in RNAcentral is "long non-coding RNA (SMIL_LNC008379)". The record is from RNAcentral. Lineage: Eukaryota; Viridiplantae; Streptophyta; Magnoliopsida; Lamiales; Lamiaceae.
AAUCAAGUUUCCAGAAGGAAUGGCCUUCGAAGAUCAAGCAACUGCCCCUUUCCUAUCAUCUACAGACUAGAUAAACACAAACAUAUCUGUUAUCAGCACACAAAAAAAAAUGAGAACUGGUUGAGCAGCAGAAGCGGAAAACCUAACCUUAAUUUCACAACUGUUAAAUGCUACAUAGUUCAUACGAGAAGUAAGGUUAAAUCAAAUCCCAAAAUCAGUCAGACCACACUGGUGCAACCCAUGAGGCUAAUAAAUCACAAUAUCAAGCUAAAAUAGGCAAAUAAAAUCUGAUUAAAUGCCUGCAUACACACUGACCUGGAAGAGUAAAAAUGUUAAAGCAACAAGGUAAAUGCAGAUUGAGGAAAACUUUCAUAAAUUCAAAUAAACUAGACGAAUUUAGUUCAAAUAAACUAGACGAAUUCGGUUCAAAUAAACUGGACGAAUUUAGAUGACAACAAACCCUAGAAACUAAUUUUUAGAUGACAAUAUAUCUAAAUCGAGAGAUUGAGGAAAAUUUUACCAGAGAGAAUCGGAGAAAUCGGACUCCGGCUGGCGAGGCCAGCUCGCGGUGGCCGUCUGAACUCUGGGGGAGGCUGGGGGCGCGGCUGGACCCUGGGGCGACUGGAAAGGCCAGGCAGGGGCUCAGCCCUAUGCGCGACUGUGCGGUGCAGUCUCUGCAAGGAGGGGUGGCAGGGGGCGCACGGCUGAAGCGAGAGCGGCGCGCGGUGGCAGGUAGAAGGGACGAAGUGGGCGAAGGCGGGGGGGGGGGGAGAUUGAUUCUAAGGAAGAAGAUGAUUUGGUGAUUUGGG